GAUGAACGCUAGCUACAGGCUUAACACAUGCAAGUCGAGGGGAAACGAUAUUGGAAGCUUGCUUCUGAUAGGCGUCGACCGGCGCACGGGUGAGUAACGCGUAUCCAACCUGCCCAUCACUUGGGGAUAACCUUGCGAAAGUAAGACUAAUACCCAAUGACGUCUCUAGAAGACAUCUGAAAGAGAUUAAAGAUUUAUCGGUGAUGGAUGGGGAUGCGUCUGAUUAGCUUGUUGGCGGGGUAACGGCCCACCAAGGCGACGAUCAGUAGGGGUUCUGAGAGGAAGGUCCCCCCACAUUGGAACUGAGACACGGUCCAAACUCCUACGGGAGGCAGCAGUGAGGAAUAUUGGUCAAUGGACGAGAGUCUGAACCAGCCAAGUAGCGUGAAGGAUGAAGGUCUUACGGAUUGUAAACUUCUUUUAUAAGGGAAUAAACCCUCCACGUGUGGGAGCUUGUAUGUACCUUAUGAAUAAGCAUCGGCUAACUCCGUGCCAGCAGCCG
RNAcentral lists this ribosomal RNA (502 nucleotides) under uncultured bacterium. RNAcentral describes it as "bacterial SSU rRNA". It matches the Rfam family "Bacterial small subunit ribosomal RNA", at positions 28 to 517 of the family's 1533-position model. The record is from RNAcentral.